GACGUAGGAGGCGAGCGUUGUUCGGAUUCAUUGGGCGUAAAGGGUGUCGUAGGUGGCGCGUAAGUCGGGUGUGAAAUUCGUGCUUAACUCCGAAACUGCAUUCGAUACUGCGUGCUUGAGGACUGGAGAGGAGACUGGAAUUUACGGUGUAGCGGUGAAAUGCGUAGAUAUCGGGAGGAACACCCUGUGGCGAAGGCGGCCCCCUGGUUGGAUACUGACGCUGAUACGCGAAAGCGUGGGGAGCAAACAGG
RNAcentral lists this ribosomal RNA (251 nucleotides) under uncultured bacterium. Its description in RNAcentral is "partial 16S ribosomal RNA". It matches the Rfam family "Bacterial small subunit ribosomal RNA", at positions 524 to 776 of the family's 1533-position model. The record is from RNAcentral.